AGGCUGGGAUAAGUUGCAGUACUCUGUAGCCAGUAUUGCUCUUGUUUUGGUCCUGU
RNAcentral lists this microRNA precursor (56 nucleotides) under Branchiostoma floridae (Florida lancelet). Its description in RNAcentral is "Bfl-Mir-92-o5_pre stem-loop". The record is from RNAcentral. Lineage: Eukaryota; Metazoa; Chordata; Leptocardii; Amphioxiformes; Branchiostomatidae.